Molecule: transfer RNA, 106 nt
Filed under: Citrobacter sp. CK180
Lineage: Bacteria; Pseudomonadati; Pseudomonadota; Gammaproteobacteria; Enterobacterales; Enterobacteriaceae
Description: tRNA-Pro
Source: RNAcentral
CAGUACGUUACGUCGCUUACCAGUUUCGUUUUCUCAUCAUUUUUCAAGUAAAACGACCGUCAUGGGGUGUCGGGGGUCGGAGGUUCAAAUCCUCUCGUACCGACCA